GGCACUAUAGCCAAGUGGUUACGGCGACAGAUUCGAACAAAGUAGUAUCUGUUCCUCUUUGAGGGCGCAGGUUCAAAUCCUGCUGGUGUCG
Tephrocybe rancida is the source of this 91-nucleotide non-coding RNA. The record is from the annotation of a GenBank genome assembly. NCBI's taxonomy places the organism in Eukaryota, Fungi, Basidiomycota, Agaricomycetes, Agaricales, Lyophyllaceae.